GUCAUAUUACUUGUUCAGGAGUCGUAACUCCUGAAGCAGUUUCUGUAGCCAAAGAAGCUCACAUAUACCUAAAGCCAUUGCUCUAUACAUAGUUUCUGCUGAUGAUCGAGCUACCACUGACUAUUUCUUGCUCCUUCAAAUUACUAAAUUACCCCCUACAUAUGUGUAGUACCCAGAGGUAAACCGCCUAUCAUUCAGUGGCCUAGCCCAAUCUGC
This 216-nucleotide long non-coding RNA is filed under the name Elaeis guineensis (African oil palm). RNAcentral describes it as "long non-coding RNA (EGUI_LNC016483)". The record is from RNAcentral. Lineage: Eukaryota; Viridiplantae; Streptophyta; Magnoliopsida; Arecales; Arecaceae.